GAUGAAGAACGUAGCGAAAUGCGAUAAGUAAUGUGAAUUGCAGAAUUCAGUGAAUCAUCGAAUCUUGAACGCACAUUGCGCCCCCUGGUAUUCCGGGGGGCAUGCCUGUCCGAGCGUCAUUACAACCCUCAAGCUCAGCUUGGUGUUGGGCCCCGCCGCCCCGGCGGGCCCUAAAGUCAGUGGCGGUGCCGUCCGGCUCCGAGCGUAGUAAUUCUUCUCGCUCUGGAGGUCCGGUCGUGUGCUCGCCAGCAACCCCCAAUUUUUUUCAGGUUGACCUCGGAUCAGGUAGGGAUACCCGCUGAACUUAAGCAUAUCAAUAAGCGGAGGA
Molecule: unclassified non-coding RNA, 328 nt
Filed under: soil metagenome
Description: partial contains 5.8S ribosomal RNA, internal transcribed spacer 2, and large subunit ribosomal RNA
Rfam family: 5.8S ribosomal RNA (bases 1-119)
Source: RNAcentral